Long non-coding RNA from Harmonia axyridis, 603 nucleotides. RefSeq lists it as uncharacterized. NCBI's taxonomy places the organism in Eukaryota, Metazoa, Arthropoda, Insecta, Coleoptera, Coccinellidae. The record is from RefSeq and is a predicted model, not a curated record. The transcript is spliced from 4 exons.
CUCUCUCAGCGUUCGCGUUCUUCAUUCCUAGUUACGGUGUUGUGAAGAUGAGGGCGAAGUGGAGAAAGAAGCGUGUGCGGAGGUUGAAGCGAAAACGCAGGAAGAUGCGUCAAAGGUCCAAAUAGAAUUUUAUGUGAAAAUAAAACCACAUGGAGCAACCAACAAGGGGGUCGAUGUUGAAAUAACAGGUAGAUAAUAUAUAACUGGGAAUGUGUCGUUCACGAACGAACAAACCAAAAGACCCGGUUCUCCAACUGGGCUUUCUGAAGCAGUGGAACUAUAACGAAUCACUAAUCUCUUACCUGAACCUAACAACAUUUUAUAGUCUCCUAUAGAAGCAUGAGUGCUCAUAAAAUCCAAACAGAUCUAUGAACGUUACUUGUGAUUACCACAUGGAACUUCCUGAAAUAUUCAUAAUCUUCGAGAUGUGAUGCAGUUCAUGUCACACUACCAUAUCUAGAUUUAUUGGUAUUGAGCAUCUGAAGAAUUUAGAGAAUUGGACUGAGUCAUCAAGAUAUGUAAAUUUAGUUCUGACGGCUGAAUAAAUGAUAAUUUUGUCUGUUAAAACUGGUUCUGAACAUAACACAAUUUGAGUGCAUCAAA